CUGUUCGAAAUAGUCAUAGGAUGCAGUUCGAGAUGGCUUCUGAGCUAGCUCAAACCUAUCCUAUGGACCACCCCCCACCCUUGCCUACUUGUACCUAUUGUUUCCUCGGCAGGUCCGCCUGCCAAUAGAGGAUCCCUACAAACCCUUUGCAGUACCUAGCGGUGGUCGGCAACAAAACAAACAAUAAAUUA
RNAcentral lists this unclassified non-coding RNA (191 nucleotides) under uncultured Ascomycota. RNAcentral's name for it is "sequence contains ITS1". Lineage: Eukaryota; Fungi; Ascomycota. The record is from RNAcentral.